CAGCAGCCACGGUAAUACGGAGGGGGCUAGCGUUGUUCGGAAUUACUGGGCGUAAAGCGCACGUAGGCGGCUUGGUAAGUUAGAGGUGAAAGCCUGGAGCUCAACUCCAGAAUUGCCUUUAAGACUGCCGAGCUAGCAGGUGAGAGAGGUAAGUGGAAUUCCGAGUGUAGAGGUGAAAUUCGUAGAUAUUCGGAAGAACACCAGUGGCGAAGGCGGCUUACUGGCUCAUACUGGACGCUGAGGUGCGAAAGCGUGGGGAGCAAACAGGAUUAGAUACCCCAGUAGUCCCUGUCUCUUAUAC
RNAcentral lists this ribosomal RNA (301 nucleotides) under uncultured bacterium. Its description in RNAcentral is "partial 16S ribosomal RNA". It matches the Rfam family "Bacterial small subunit ribosomal RNA", at positions 509 to 807 of the family's 1533-position model. The record is from RNAcentral.